AGUGAACGCUGGCGGCGUGCCUAACACAUGCAAGUCGUGCGAGAAAGGGAGCAAUCCUGAGUAAAGCGGCGAACGGGUGAGUAACACGUGGUUAACCUGUCUGGAUGUGGGGGAUACCCCGGGGAAACCCGGGACAAUACCGCAUGAUGUCUCCUGGGCGUCGGCCUGGGAGAGCAAAGCCGGGGACCGCAAGGCCUGGCGCAACCAGAGGGGGACCGCGGCCGAUUAGCUAGUUGGCGGGGUAAUGGCCCACCAAGGCAUCGAUCGGUAGCCGGCCUGAGAGGGUGAACGGCCACACCGGAACUGAGACACGGUCCGGACUCCUACGGGAGGCAGCAGUGGGGAAUUUUGCGCAAUGGGCGAAAGCCUGACGCAGCAACGCCGCGUGGAGGAUGAAGGUGCUCUGCAUUGUAAACUCCUGUCGGCCGGGAAGAAUCGGCGGGGUGGCUAAUCAGCCCCGUCUUGACUGUACCGGCAAAGGAAGCCCCGGGCUAACUCCGUGCCAGCAGCCGCGGUAAU
This 519-nucleotide ribosomal RNA is filed under the name uncultured bacterium. RNAcentral describes it as "bacterial SSU rRNA". It matches the Rfam family "Bacterial small subunit ribosomal RNA", at positions 30 to 524 of the family's 1533-position model. The record is from RNAcentral.